UACAGAGGUCUCGAGCGUUAGGCGGAAUCACUGGGCUUAAAGCGUGUGUAGGCGGAUCGUUAAGUACCUUGUGAAAUCCCACGGCUUAACCGUGGAACUGCUUGGCAUACUGGCGGUCUUGAGCCAGCUAGGGGCUACCGGAACAAAUGGUGGAGCGGUGAAAUGCGUAGAUAUCAUUUGGAACGCCAAAGGUGAAAACAGGCUGCUGGGGUUGUGCCGACGCUGAGACACGAAAGCCAGGGGAGCAAACGGG
Molecule: ribosomal RNA, 253 nt
Filed under: uncultured bacterium
Lineage: Bacteria
Description: partial 16S ribosomal RNA
Rfam family: Bacterial small subunit ribosomal RNA
Source: RNAcentral